UGUGUCAUCAUUGUCAAUGUUAAAAUUGCCUGCGGUACCCGUAAGUUAUUCGUUCGUUGCUGGCCGAGUUUCACAACAUUUGCAGAUCUGUUCUAACGAUGGAUUCUCAAAAUUCUUCCCCUAAUCAAUCUGAGGGAAAUCCGGCAGAAAGUACUACUCACAGCGGACAAAGCAAUGUAAUCCAGUACUGGUCUUACAGAAGAUACACAAUCUUGAAAUGGAUGCACCAAAACUUCAAGGUAGUGAACGAUAAACUGAUUCCUAAGAAAAAGCAAAUGUAGUCGACCUUCAAGAACCAACCCAUUUAGUUGCUUCAAAUCAUUUUUUAAACCUCUUCUUAUACUUAAUCAGCCAUAAUAUGCCAUGUUAGAAAUUUUUCUUAUCCAUAGAUUAUUAAAUAUGUGAAAAUGUAUUUAUAAAUAAAUGUUCAAACCCAA
Molecule: long non-coding RNA, 437 nt
Organism: Dendroctonus ponderosae (mountain pine beetle)
Lineage: Eukaryota; Metazoa; Arthropoda; Insecta; Coleoptera; Curculionidae
Exons: 2
Source: RefSeq, a predicted model, not a curated record